RNAcentral lists this small RNA (1275 nucleotides) under Pan troglodytes (chimpanzee). Its description in RNAcentral is "retained intron". Lineage: Eukaryota; Metazoa; Chordata; Mammalia; Primates; Hominidae. The record is from RNAcentral.
AACAGUCCCUGGGGACCCAUCCUGGGGAACAGGACUGCUAGCAGUAAAGAUGGGGGAGCCAGGGCCCCCAUCCCCUCCAGCCCCCAAGGCUGCCCCAGGCCUCAUUGACAGCUUCUCUGAGAUGAACAACUACCGGCAGGCCAUGCAGAAGAUGGCAGAGGACAUCCUGUCUCUGCGGAGACAGGCCAGCAUCCUGGAAGGAGAGAACCGCAUACUGAGGAGCCGCCUGGCCCAGCAGGAGGAGGAAGAGGGGCAGGGCAAAGCCAGUGAGGCCCAGAACGCGGUGUCCAUGAAGCAGAAACUGCUGCUGAGUGAGCUGGAUAUGAAGAAACUGAGGGACAGGGUGCAGCACUUGCAGAAUGAGCUGAUUCGAAAGAAUGAUCGAGAGAAGGAGCUGCUCCUUCUGUAUCAGGCCCAGCAGCCACAGGCCGCUCUGCUGAAGCAGUACCAGGGCAAGCUGCAGAAGAUGAAGGCGCUGGAGGAGACUGUGCAGCACCAAGAGAAGGCUUCCCUGUGCUCUCAGCCUCUGGCCUUCCCUUGGGUUCUAUGGGAGAGAACCUGCCGGUUGAACUUUACUCAGUGCUGCUGGCAGAAAACGCGAAGCUGCGGACGGAGCUGGAUAAGAACCGCCACCAGCAGGCCCCCAUCAUUCUGCAGCAACAGGCCCUGCCGGUAAGAGGCCCUUGACCUGGGCCUGCCUGUGCCGGUCACUGGGUGCCCAGAAAUCACCCAUGGUACAACCCAAGUUGAAGAUCAAGACCAGGAGCUAAGCUUCCCAGGGUCUCCAGUCUGCCUGGGGGCUCCUGGAAUCAGCUCUCAGGCCUUGGUCUUUUUCUCCUGCGGAAUGUGUGUCCCCGAACACUUCACCUUUAACCUCAUCUAGCAUCCCAGGAGAAAGCAAGCCCCUUGUUGACCCUUGAUCCCUGAACCCUGACCCCUUUUUCACCUGGCUGGCCUCCACCUGGACCCUACACAGGCCUCUCAAAACUCCCUUCUGGAGCAUUCCCUGAUCUUGGUGCAGCCUUGGAGAGCCCUUUUCCAUCCCAGGUGGACCCCGGGGAGUUGGGAGCAGGAGGAGACUUGACAGAGAGGCUGCGAGAGACGCAUGGCCCAGGCCACUCAGAGUGCACAGAGACCCUGCCUGCACAGGAUCUCCUCUCUGGUACUUCAGACAAGUUCAACCUCCUGGCCAAGCUGGAACAUGCUCAGAGCCGGAUCCUGUCCCUGGAAAGCCAGUUAGAGGACUCAGCUCGACGCUGGGGACGAGAGAAGCAG